Molecule: ribosomal RNA, 252 nt
Filed under: uncultured bacterium
Lineage: Bacteria
Description: partial 16S ribosomal RNA
Rfam family: Bacterial small subunit ribosomal RNA
Source: RNAcentral
UACGGAGGAUGCGAGCGUUAUCCGGAUUUAUUGGGUUUAAAGGGUGCGCAGGCGGCACGGCAAGCCGGCGGUCAAAUCGCGGGGCUCAACCCCGCCCAGCCGUCAGAACUGCCGGGCUAGAGUGGGCGAGAAGUGCGCGGAAUGCGUGGUGUAGCGGUGAAAUGCAUAGAUAUCACGCAGAACUCCGAUUGCGAAGGCAGCGCACCGGCGCCCUACUGACGCUCAGGCACGAAAGCGUGGGUAUCGAACAGG